CUGCUGCCUUCCGUAGGAGUUUGGACCGUGUCUCAGUUCCAAUGUGGCCGAUCACCCUCUCAGGUCGGCUACUGAUCGUCGCCUUGGUGAGCCGUUACCUCACCAACAAGCUAAUCAGACGCGAGCUCAUCCAUAUCCGAUAAAUCUUUGAUGGAAAGAAGAUGCCUUCAAACCAUGUUAUGCGGUAUUAUCAGUCGUUUCCAACUGUUAUCCCCCAGAUAUGGGCAGAUUGCUCACG
This 238-nucleotide ribosomal RNA is filed under the name uncultured bacterium. Its description in RNAcentral is "partial 16S ribosomal RNA". The record is from RNAcentral.